AUUGGUGAUAGAGGUGCGGUAUUUAAGAGUACUGUUGCUAAGGCAAGCACGAUGAGGCUUCAGGAAAGGAGAUUCCGCCGAAGCAUACAGCUGAUGCUUUAAGGCUGUAUAGCUGGUUCUGUAUAGAAUAUAUGCAGGACUGUCACAAAUUUUAUUUGUGGAGAGCUAUCAUUCAA
This 176-nucleotide non-coding RNA is filed under the name Caloramator quimbayensis. RNAcentral's name for it is "Lysine sequence". It matches the Rfam family "Lysine riboswitch aptamer". Rfam says of the family: Riboswitches are metabolite binding domains within certain messenger RNAs that serve as precision sensors for their corresponding targets. Allosteric rearrangement of mRNA structure is mediated by ligand binding, and this results in modulation of gene expression. The record is from RNAcentral. Lineage: Bacteria; Bacillati; Bacillota; Clostridia; Eubacteriales; Clostridiaceae.